AUCUUCUCCCUCUCUCUCUCUCUCUCUCUCUCUCUCUCUCUCUCUCUACCCUUGAAUCAAAGAAGAAGAACAUCAAUCCGUUUCCGGCUUAGAUCGAAGGUGCAUCUCCGGCCAACGUAAAAUUCUAGACCCUAAUCGAGUUUUGGGUUGUUUAAAUGGUUAAUAACCACCGACCUGGACAACGACGGGUGUUCUAGAUUUGUGUACAUCGACCGGUGGUGUUGUCCAUGUCUGAAAAUGACCUUUAAUUUUCAAUUAUUUUUUUACAUUGAUCGACUUCUACAAACUCUACGAUCUUAAAGAUUUGUGCAUCACCGGCAGUCUGUUGAACAUAGACAACGAGAAGAUGCAUGAGGUCGAACAUAUGAAGAUUGAGGAACUCUGAGUUUCGUUUCAUUAGGAACAAGCUAGAUUACUCCUGUUGAAUUCUUCUUUCCAGCUUUUAAUUGAUUGCAAACACUAGGGUUAGGGGUUUUGUUUUUUUUUUUAUUCACACACUUACGAGUUUCGUUGUACAAUUUGUGUGAUUUUAGGAGGCAAGACGAUUGUAUUUUUUUGUACAGUUAUUGAUAAUCCGGAGGAGAAAGCAAUUCUGAUGGAUUCAGAGCGCUUGAAUUGUUUCCAGCCAAGGCAGACCCGGCAAGUGUUCUGUAUUGAGGUUACGAUUUGCAGCAGUUGCAGGGUGAUUUUUGAAUGUAUUUGACUCGGUUUUGAUGAAUGUGAACCCACUAAGCCUUAGGCAACAAACGUGACGUGUUUUUGUAGCCUUGAAGGAAGUUGUGAGGUUCUGUUUUGAACCAGUUCAGGGCUGCUAUUUUAUGAAAGUUGCUAGCUUUUGAUUUGGGUUGUUUUGGUUAAGGUUUCGACCCGUAAUCGACAUUAAGUGAUUUUAUUUGGUUAUGCUUAAUGUUUAUCAAGAUUUUAAGUGAUUUUAGGAUCUACAAUUGAAGGUAAACCAAUAUAGGGGCUGCUGCAUUAUAUAUUAGUUUACCGUUAUAUUUUAGAUGUAGUGUUUGCACAAUAUUGUCUCUAAG
This 1034-nucleotide long non-coding RNA is filed under the name Helianthus annuus (common sunflower). Lineage: Eukaryota; Viridiplantae; Streptophyta; Magnoliopsida; Asterales; Asteraceae. The record is from RNAcentral.